CCUAGUGAGUUCCAGGACUGUCAGAGAUAUACAAUAGAGAGACCCUGUCUAAAAUAAAAUAAAAUAAAACCCAGCUUAGGUUUUUAUCCUAGAAGCUUAAUAUAUCAACUGGCUCAGAAAUCUUGAUCCCAAAAUCUUUUUUUUUUUUUUUUUUUUUUUUGGCUUUUUGAGACAGGAUUUCUCAGUGACUUGGCUGUCCUAGAACUCACUCUGUAGACCAGUCUAGCCUCUAAUUCAUAGAGAUCCACCUGCCUCUGCCUCCCAAGGUGGGACUAAAAACAUGAGUCACUACCACCUGGCUGAUCCCAAAUUCUUACCCAGUUGAGUUGGGAACCUCUGUCUCUCCAAUGAAAGUAGGUGAGUGCUGUGACACCUAUAUACAUCAUUACCCCAAAGCUGAAAACAGACAAAGAAAAGCAAAAAGUGUGUUACUUCCAGGCAAUGGAAUUAUCUUUCAGCAAUAUAAAGAAAUGGGCUGUCGUGCCAUGGAGUAGCAUGGGAGAGCCCUAAUGUGUGUUGGUGAGUGAAAGAAACCUUACAUUCAGAGGAGUUAAAGCUGAAAACACUGAGAACGUCCGUGACUGUGGGGCUUGGCUGAGCAUGGGAGGGUGAUGGGACACAGCAGUGUUAGGGCAGCUAAAGUCUUCUGUGGGAUAAUGCCAUUACGCUCUUGUCAGGAGCUGUAGUGUGAGGAAGGUAGGUAUUCAUGAGUUUGUAAUGUGCCCUUGACUGUAGCAAAUGUAUUCUCACAAUGCAGAAUAAUAACUGGGAAAAUGCAAGAGUUGUCGUGGAGGGAAAGGUAGAACAUAUGGGAGCCCUGUGCUUUUGGUCAGGUUUUCUGGAAUGGGCUGGAGAGAUGGCUCAGUUAUUAAGACCACUGUCUGCCCUCCCAGAGGAUCCCACAUACCAGCAAUGGUAGCUCUCAACUGUAACUACAGCUCUAGGGGUUCUGAUGACGUGGUUUGGCCUUUUUGAGUACCAGUCACCCUUUUAUUGCACAGACAUAUAUACAGGCAAAACUCUCUCUCUCUCUCUCUCUCUCUCUCUCUCUCUCUCUCUCACACACACACUCACACACACUCACACACUCACAAAAUAAAAAUGAAAUGGGUUAAAAUAAAAACAAAUCUUUAACAUUUUUCAAAGUCUCCAAUGCUCUAAAAUAUAUACAUUGAUAUCAAAGGGAGGAUUUUGUGUUCAUGUGUGUUUUGUUUUCAAAAGAAUUGGAAAUAAACUAAACAUCGAAGUUUUUAUUGCAGUUGGAUUGGAAAUUAGAUGUAGCUCUACUUAUAUAAAUAUGUACAUAUAUACAUAUACACACAUAUGUAUAAAUAAGAUGGAGGAGGAGGCAGAAGGAACAAUGCUGAGAUGCCUUUUAUUGCUGAUUAUUAUUUAGAGAAGAGAUGAAAGAUAAUGGUAUUUUUUAUACAUAGUUGGAAAUCAACAUCUGCAGUAGAAUGUUGACUAUACUCUGUCUCCUGGUACCUGUUGGAACGGUGUGUGGUUUCCCAUGGAUUGUGGAAGAUCAAUAGUGUUUCUACAGCUGCCAUGGGGUUCUGUGCAGUUCAGUUUGCUAGCUGCCAGCCCUGACAACUUGUGCGUUUUAAUCAGUCCUUGUUCUGCAUCUUGAGACCUGCCUUUUAGACGUGUUUGGAAUGAGAGCCAACCACUCCAAGAGUUAAAAGAAGUGCAUGGUCUCUUUUAGUUAAAAAAAAAAAAAGUUUCAAGUGAAUUUCUAGUGUGAAUUAAGGAGACUUACUUAGCCUGCCUUUUUAAUCAUUAAAGUGGCCUCUUAGAACUCCUGAUUUAAUGAAAAGAUAAAAAUGUUUUGUAAUUAGCAGAUCAAAGCACUGCUGGGGCUGGUGUUUACAUUGUCAGUAUGUAAAUGAAACUUCUAAAGGGACUGAAAAGAAUUUGUUUAAUACCUCUUUAAUUUUGUUUAUGUAAUUUCUUUGCUUAAAAAUCUCUCCCCUCCUGCUCUUUGAAUUGACAAUUCUAAGGUAAACUUUGACUUACCACUCUCCCUUGUAUCAGGGAGCUUUGCAGUAUUAAUUGUGGAGGUUUACCAUACUUAAGUCAGAUUUUCCCCUAUCUUUAAAAAAAAAUAGCAUGAUCUUGAAAGGUUGGCUCGACAACUCUAAAACAUAAACGGAUCUAUUGAUUAAUACAGAAGAAUUGGGUGUAUUCAUUGUAAUCUUGCAGUAGGACUUGGGAAUAUUCUGUAUAAAUUAACAAGGGCAGUAUGGCUUAGCUUGCUUAGCCUCUUUGGAAUUACAGUGACAAGAAUCCGUGUUUGUGAAGGAUUGGUUCUAUAAUCUCCACCCCAAAUUCUGAGGAUGCUUACCUUGUCUGUUUAAAGUGAUGUCAAAUUUUCACAUGAUGAUGUCUUAGUUACUUCUGUACUACCUUGACCAAACAUCAUGCCCAAGGCAGCUUAUAAAAGAAAGCAUGGUAUUUGGGGCUUAUGAUUCCAUAAAGUUAGAGUAUAUGACCAUUAUGAUUGGGAGCUGGUGCAAUAGAGUAGCUGAGAGCUUCCAUCCAAUCCACAACAGGAGGCAGAUAGCUAAUGUGGAAUGGUAAGUGCUUUUAAAACCUGGAAAUCUACCCCAGUGACACACUUCCUCCAACAAAGCCAUACCUCCUAAUCUUUCGCAAACAGUUCCAUCAAUUGGGACCCAAGCAUUCAAAUAUGGGGUCUGUGGGGGCAUUCUCAUUCAAAUCACCACAUACAAAAUAAAUGCUAUAUAAAUAAUUAUUAAAUUGUAUUGUUCAAGGAAUAAUAAUAACAGAAGUCUAUGUGUUAAGGGCACUACUUCAUUACAUUUUCUCUAUUUUUUUAAAGCAAGUACUUACUAAUUAUUAUAUAUGUUUACAUGCAUGAUUGCUUGUUUGCACAUGCCAGUUAUUAUGUUCGUUUGAAUGUGUGUAAGUCAAGAGAGCAGCUCUUGGGAGUCAGUUGUCUCUUGCUACCUUAUAAAACCUGGAGACCAGACUCAGGUUGUUAGGCCUGCACAUGAGCUGCUCUACUCACCAGCUAAAGUUUUACCUACUAUACUUUACUUAGUGUGUGUGUCUAAAAUUAUGCACAUGGAUGUACACAUGCAUACAUGUGCAAGCCAUUACCUGUUUGAAGUCAUUCAAGGAAUCACCAUUACAUAUGUGGUGGGCAGGGUCAAAUAGUUCAAAGCAAAUUCAUUAGAGAAAUUGUUCAGGACAGUUAGUGCAUCGUGGAUGGGAGAGGGGCUCAUGAAACCUCCGUACUUCCUGAGGAGCUGGGGUGAAGGUGUGCUGCGAGUGUAGGUUAAUAAUUUUCCUUGAUGGCACAGCCACUGAUAAUUUGCCUAUGCUCCAGUCAAUAAUCCACAGCCUGUGCUUGACCCGGGGACCUAAUUAAACUCAGUCACAGAAGAGGUGAGCAGCCACAGGAAGGAGACACAGAGAGGGAACCUGCUGGCAAGAUGGCGGGGGAUAAGAAAAGGCAGUGGGGUAGAAAGACAAACACCAUAUAUAUAUGUGUAUAUAUAUAUACACACACACACACACAUACAUACAUAUAUACAUAUAUACAUAUAUAUAUAUAUACACACACACACACACACACACACACACACAUACACACACACGUGUGUGUGUGUGUGUGUGUGUGGCGUUGUUGGAGAAGGAAAAGAAGCCGCUCAAAAGUGUCUUGAGAACUUGUUUUCUUGAGUCUCAGAUCAUCAGUGGUGACUCCCACGUGGGACUGCAUGAGAGGGGAAGGGGGAAUUGGAGGGGUUCCAUUGAAGAGUAGCUUCCAAAAAGAUUUGUUCUGAGGUGCACACUGAACGUAAUAGAAAGUUAAGUUAAUUAGCAGCCAAGGGUUAAAUGUAACUCGUGACUGUCUACUUAGAGCAGUGUAUCUGGAAGUGGAAAGGAGGGAUUUUAUUCUUAACUUUUUUGUUUUGAUGAGUUAACACUUAGUCUGUGCUCAUAGUAAAGAGCAAGGAGACAGACCUGAAUGGCCUUGUCACUUUGUGACGGGCAUGCAUGCCUGUGAAUGAAUGGGACAGGUAAGAUGUGUAUAAUGAUAGGCUGAGUUAUGCCAGAGCCCUGGGGUCGAGCUCAGGCGACAAGCCAGGGCUCUCUAUUUAAUGGGCUUCAUUAGCUUAACUGGAACGGGACCUGGUGUUCAUUGUUCACCUCAUGCAAGUCUAGUGAGAUUUAAUUAGUUCUAUUUACACAAGGCUAUCCAGACUGACAUCUAAAUCUAGCCUGUAGCCACCUCUGUCUGCCAGACUUAUGGAAGAACAGGAGACAGAGCCGCACAUGAUGGCUCAUGCCUUUCACUCCAACAUUUUGGAGGCAGAGGCAGGUAGAUCUCUGAAUUCGAGGCUAGCCUGGUCUUGAUAGUAAAUUUCGGGGUCACCACAGCUGCAUAGUGAGAAAAACCCAAAACAGAGCAAACAACAGCAAAAAGACAACCAACCAUCCAACACCCCCUACCAGUUAACAAACAAAUAAGCAGAAAAUAAACAAAGACACACUAACCUCACGAUAGGAAGUCCCUUCCCCUUAAUCACCUUGGAGGUUGGAGGAGAAGGGGCCAUGCCAAUGGUCCUUGUUCCCUCAGUGGUUCGGGAUGAUGGAAUGUUUUCCAACAUCUCCUCUCAUGUCAUGCUCUUUCCAUUGUCCCCUACUGGGCCCAAUACAAGGUAGGGUUAAAGAGGAGACUGUCCUUGUCUAACACAUGAUUAUCCUACUUUGCGGUGUCAAAGAAAUGAAAACAUGUCCUUAUAAUGACUCUUUUCAGCUUCCUAUUUGUUCUAAGGAUUUCCUAUUUGUCAGGAUUAUUAUUAGAAUCAAGCUGUCCUGUUACGUGUACACUGUAAGUAGAAGUGUAGUAAACACAGUGCAGGUCAUGUUGUGACUUUAAGUUGCCUAGUAGCUAUAUGUAAAAACAUAAAGAGAUACAAAGUUUGUGUCGUUGAUUUAACUAUUUAUGUACACUUGUCUGUGUGUAUUUGCUCAUAUGUGUGGGUACUAGUGGAGGCCAGAAGUGUCUGAUAACCUUGGGUUUGAGUCAGAGGGGUUGUGAGCCAUCUGAUGUGGGUGCUGGGAACUGAACUUGGAUUCUCUGGAAGAGCGGCCAAGUGCUAACUUCUGAGUGGUCUUCAACCUCAUUGAUGUAUUCUUCUGAGUCAAUGUUGUGUUCUGUAGCCUGCCAUGAUCCUUAAGCUGCAGCUGUCUACCUCAGAUUCUCAAAGUGGUAGGAUUGCAGGCUACCAUACUGAGGUAAUAUGCAUUUGUACUUAUUUUGAGUCAGGUUCUUCUGUGGCUCAGGCUGGCCUCUCUUGUGGGUAGCAUUCGAUCUUCCCAAUUGCCUAUUUUUCUAUUGUGCUAUAUCCUUAUGACUCCCUUUCUAAGGAAUUCCCUUUUCAAAUGAUAAGAAUAUAAAGACUCUCUCUUUCCCUCCCUCCCUCCCUCCCUCCCUUCCUUCCUUCUUUGUAUCUAGAUUCCUAUUUGAAAGCAUUGACUGCUCUGAUAUAUUUUAGCAGGGAGGGAUUUGAUAAAGGGGAUUAGGUGCUUAAUAUAUCUUGAAGGGGCAGAAAGGGCAGGCUGUGGGCUGACUUUCUAGGAAUGAUACCAAGAGUAAAAUCGCAGAGCUGGCCAGUCAAGGGAACUGCAGUCUCUGCUGUGAGAGGCUACCUCAGCAGCCAAGCAGCUGUUGAGGGUCUGUAGUCUGUUUGCUGGCUCCUUGGUGUGCCUGGACUCUAUACCUUUGAAGUUGAGCACUGACUGACAGUACCACAGUGCUAGGAGCUCACCCGAACACAGGAUUUACCUUUAGCUUUCGGAUCUUUCCUAGUUGUCUGACUUGUAGCUGUCCUUCAGUUCACUGAAGGGACAGGAUAUGUUUUACAAACAAGUCUGCAGCCAGUGCCUACCUGGUUAGUGUUUUGGUGAAUCGCUGCUGCCUCCAGAGUUGUAAUUUUGCUGUUUGGUUUGGUUUGGUUUGGUUUUUCAUGUUUCUCUGUAGUAGACCAGGCUGGCCUCAAACUCACAGAAAUAUGAUGGUCUCUGCCACCAGAGUAAUGGGACUAAAGGUGUGCGUGCCAUCUUGCCUGGCUCUCAGGGCAUGAGUAUUAAUAGGCGGGUUUACUUGAUUGAAAGUUCUGUGAACUGAGAUGGCACUUUGAAAUGAAAUCUAUGUUUUCUUCUCUGCGGGAUUUUUUUUUUUCCUUUUCUUCUCUUUCCAGGUCAGAGUCUCUGGAAAGAUAAGAACAAAUUAUAAUAUUCCUGAAUCUAACUUGAUGACAUCACGGUUUGAAAGACCGGAGAGUUCAGUUCCACAAAUGCAGCCUGUCAGCGUUGUUCCUCUUGUUGAGUUAGUGUUUUCAUCUCUUAAUUGACGCUUUCGUGCUAUGGAAUGUCGAUACCCUCAGCUAAAGGAAGGGAAGGUUAAUUGUUUCUCCUGUUUUCCCUGGGUUACUAACUAGCCAGAUCUAGGGAUAAGCCAUUGCAAAGAACGAUGUGCUGUUCUGGAAGGGACAGGUAAAAGGUUGCAUUGCUUAGACCUAUUUUGGGAGAAGAAAAUAGACAUGGGACAAUGUUGCAGAGCCAUCCUGGGUCACAAGUUCACCAUCUGCACCAUAGCAAUUCUUGGAGGAACUGUCCUCUGCAGAACAUGUGGCAUAAGUCAAAUGCCGUCAUCUCACAGUGGCUUCAGGGACCAGUUCCAAGAUGCCCAACAGCUAGGACAGUCCAAAGAUACUCAAGUCUUUAUAAGUGGAAUAACAUUCCUGUGUAGCUCAUGUAUAUCCUCUUGCAUACCUGACUCAUAACCAGGUUACUUUUAAUACCUAACAGAAUGUAAGUGCUAUAUAUAGUUUUAAAGGAUGCAUUUCUAAGGAAUAUUGAAUAAAAGAAGCAUUCAGAUGCUUAGUCCAGAUCCUUCAAAUUUUCUUUUGGCUUGCAGUUGGUUGAAUCUGCAGACAUAGAACUGAUGUCUGCGACUGAAAACCCAGGCUCUGGAAUCAAAUUCAGCUAAGUCGUAUUCAUGCGGCUUUGUCUGAACUUGCAGAUCUCCAGCAUGUCUGCUGUUGAUGAGCUUAGGGAAGGGAGUGGGCCUUUUUAGUGUGGAUGAGCAGCAGUAUCUUCACCUAUUGGCUUGUUAGAAAUAUAAAUGAUAAGGCCAUGGCUCUAGCUUGUUGAUUCAGAGACCUGGGCAUAGUGCUUCAUACCAGCAGUCUGCCAGUUAAUAAGUCCUCUGACAUUAAUAAUUGAAAUAGGGCUCAGUGUGCUCCUUUAAGGGGAAUACUGGACACCCAGGUAUCCAAGUCUAUUCUGUAUCACUCCAAACCAAUGAACAAAUGAACAAAAUUCAACAUGUUUUAUGUCAUUCGGCAAAUCUCUUAGAUUCAGUUUUUCAUCUGUAAGCAGAAAAAUACACAGUUUUGGCUUUAUUGAGGUUUAAAUAAGAUAGAUGGGUUCUGUCAGUGUGAGAUGGGUUCAAUAAUUAAUUACCAUUGUUAUUAUGUAUUAUGUUUACAAAGGACAUUUUGGAAGUUAAUUCUCUGUCACCAUGGUUAGAAUUGUUAAAUCUUUGUUUUAAUCUAUGUAAAAAUUAACUUUACUUGAAUGUCCUUUAGUUAGUUUGUAUAUUUAUUUAGUUUUUAAUCUGGUGCUCUGGGUGCCUGAACUCACUGUAUAGACUAGGCCAGGCCCUGAACUUUCUGAGGUUUGCCUGCCUUUGCCUCUCAAGCUCUGGAAUUCAAGGCAUCUUGUACUAUCUGGCUUUCCACUUGUGCGUUCGUUCGUUCGUUCGUUCAUUCAUUCAUUCAUUCAUUCAUUCAUUCAUAGUGCCACGUGGUGCUCAGGCUGGCCUUGAAUUUGUGCAGUAAAGCAGCUCUGCCUCAGGGCCCAGAGCAGUUAGGCUACAGGGUAGUAAUUCUACUCUGACCCAGGAUGCAGCCAUGGAGGAAUUGGUAAAAGGAUGGACAGCAAUCCCACAUCAUCUUGAAGUCAUCUUGCACAGCAGCCUACAGAUACUUCCUUCUUAAGAAAAGUUUUGUUUCAAGUUCACAGUAAUGAUGGUUUCAUUAUGACUUUCUCACAUGUAUAUAAUGCAUUUUUAUCAUUUGUUUCCCCCAUUGACACCCCUCACGCCCUCUGAGACAUUUCAUUUUGUGUGUGCUUGUAUGCUUUUUGAAGGAAAAACUGUAUCUAGGGGUUGGGGGAAAAAAACCCCAUUUGAUUAAGAAGAGGCUUUGUAGCUUUUUGUUUCUUUGUGCUUUUAGGAAUGGAACCCAGGGCCUGAAGUAUGCAGACAAGUGUUUACUUUUACCAUUGAGCUACGUCCCCAGCUGGAGGCUUUUUAAAUGUUAAUUUCCCUUCAAAUAAUUUUUAAAAAUUAGCUCUUGAAAUUUUUGUUGUUCCUAAAACUAAACAAGUGGAAUAAGAAAUCUUGAAGUUAUUAUUAUUAAAUAACUUUUAAUUGACAGAUAUCUUUAUACUUCUUGGAGUAUAAUGCGGUGUUUUGAAAUGCUGAUGUUAAGUUUAUUCGCAUAUCUGCCACCUCAUACACUUUAAAAAAAGAUGUAUUUUUACUUUAUGCAUAUGAGUGUUUUGCCUGCAUGGAUAUCUACACAUACAUACACACACACACACACACACACACACACACACACACACACACACAUAUACAUACAUACAUGCUGCCUGUGUGUCAGUGGAUGCCAGAAGAGCGUGUUGUAUCCUCUGGAACUAAAGCUUGUUGGGAGCAUGCACCCAUGUGUAGACACACAUUUCUGCUCCAUUUUUCUCAAGCUGGAACUUUAUGUAGACAUUUGCUUUGUCUAAAAGAUAAUGGUCAUUAUCAAAGUGAGGAAACUUUUCAGAGGCCUGGAGUCACCCAAUUACAGCCGUCUGUUCUACCAUUAAAUAGAAACACUUGUAAGCAAUAGCUCAAAGUGAUUUUUAUUUGCAAAACUAUGAGUUUUUUUUUUUUUUUUUGGUUUGUGUUAUUUUGUUGGCAUAUCUACUGUUAAUAAUGGAUUUAUGUAUUCUAUAGCUGUAUGGAAAAAUGUACAUUGUGGUGAGAAAUAAUUUGAAUAGAAUUAGAUAUUUAGAAAGAUGAGUAUGAGCCACUGUGUGGGUGUUGGGAACUGUACCUGGUGUUGUGGCAGAGAUGCAAGUACUCAUUACUGCUAAGCCAUUUCCCCAGCCCCAGCCUUACAUACUUUUUGUAGUGUGAACAUUAAAAAUUACUUUUUUAGUAAUUUUAAAAAACAACUUCACCUCCUUUUUUUUUAUGUUCCACAUUUUUGUAAGAUCAUGCAACAUUUGCUUUUUCAUGUUCAGUUUAUUCUGCUUUGUAUACCUUGUAGGUCAUUCAUGUUUUUGCAAGUGAGGAAGCUUUCCCUUAAAGGCUAGUUGCCUCCUCCUCUCUUCCCCUCCCCUCUCUCCCUCUCCCUCCCCUCUCUCCCUCUCCCUCUCCUCUCUCCCUCUUCUCUCUCCCUCUCCUUCUCCUCCCUCCCUCUCCCUCUCCCUCUCCUCUCUCCCUCUCCCUCCCCUCUCUCCCUCUCCCUCUCCUCUCUCCCUCUCCCUCUCCUCUCUCCCUCUCCCUCCUCCCUCUCCCUCCUCCCUCUCCUCUCUCCCUCCUCCCUCUCCCCUCUCCCUCCUCCCUCUCCCUUUCCCUCUCUUCUUUAUUUGUUCUCCAUGUUAUGACAUGUGGCCAUUCUGUGUCUUGGCUGUUGUGAAUAAGGCUGCAGUGAGCAAUGAGUGAGUAAUGCAGGCAUCUCUGAGACAGUGGACAAGGUUUCCCUGUUCUCUGUAUCCUCGCCAACAUUGGCCAUCUUCUCGAGUUUUGAAAAGGCUACUUUAACAUGUGAGGUACCGUUUCUGAUAUGCAUUUCUCUGAUGUUGAGUGUACCUCACAAGCUUCUUAGCCAGGGAACGUCUUAGAAAUAGCUAGUGAGGUGAUGGGUACACCCUCUCUCCUUUAAUAAUCAUUUGCCUUUGCUAUUGAGUUUAGUUUCUGAUAUAUCUUGGACUUUAGUAUACUUUAAGGUUUUUGCACAUGUCUUCUUGCAGUCCACAACCUAUUGCUUCGCUGUCACUCCCUUUACUCUGCAGACUUCUUUUCUGUUUGAUGUAAUCCUCUUAAACUAUUUUCACUUCUGUCGCAAUUGCAAAUUAUCACUGGAAAGGGAAAAGCUUUUGUUGGCAGGUAGGAAACUCACCUGUGUUUGUUAAAACUUACUAAAAAUACUCAUUGCCCAAGCCAAAAAGAACUACAUGAAAGAAAUUCAUGUACAGAGGGAGGCUGUGUGUAUGUGUGAGUACCUGUGGGGUCUUUGUUUUGUUCCUUGCUCCUGUGACUCACUCUCUCUCUGAGGCAGUGGCAGGCCUUCUGUUUGCAGUGAGUAAGAAGCACUGAGCUGUUCUCAGCCUUUCUUAACUUUGUUGGAAAUACAGUCAGGCGGGCCUUGUGGAGUUAGUUCACACGUAUGCCCGUGACUCAUCUUCAGGCAGUGGCUUUUUUCAAGUUAAAACUAAAGGUCAGAGUCCUUAGUCCUUAACCCUGUGUUCUAAGUGGGGAGGGAGAAUCAAAAGGAGUUUAAAAUGGGGUGGGGGUGGGGGGAGAGAAAGGAAUUUGGGAGGGGGCUGGAUCUGGGCCAGUAGCUUUUUCCUUUUAAAGGGUUGUUUUUCAGAGAACAAUCAGUAUUGCUAUGAUUUCCCAGAAUUGCUAACUUGAAACUUUCUGUAUUUGACAAUGCUGCUCAUGGUAGUUGGGCUUUUGAAGUUUUAAUUUUGUUUAAACGUUUCAUCUCUUUAUCAUACCACCAAUAGCAAACUGAGGGUUCUUUAAUGUUUAGAGCGCUUUUCCCCAUUCGUGCCAUAAAUGUUCAUGCAUGUAAAUCUGUGUUGUUAUAGACAUGCAAAGAAUCUUACAUAAACAACAAAUACUUUGUAAGUAAUUAGCUUGAAAAAUGUAAACAACUGUGUGGGUGCAGGAGAAAUAAUUUCCACGUUUCCAAGUGUGACGUUGGUGUUGGGCCUUACUGAUUUUAGUUUUACUUUCAUUGACAUUAGAGACCAACACUAAAACACAAAAUCCUGUUAGUCUUCAGUUACAUUUUUUUACUACCAGGCUAGUAAGGUUGAUGGGAGAAAAUUGAGACUCUCUGACUUAAUUCUUUGGAAUUCUGUUGUCACUGUUUAAAUAAAUAAGGCAACUGCCGGCCGGCUGCUCACAGAGCUUUUGUCCCUGGUACAGAUAUAAUGUCCUGGCAUUUUUCAUAUUCUAUUAUCAAAGCCAAGGUCUAGAAUUUUAAGUGGGAAGUUGGCACUAGAAUAAUAAAAUGCCGGACAAAGCUCAUCUGAAAGUCCAAUAAAGUGAAAUUACAGCAUUGCAGAGCAAGAGAGUUCUGGAGCUAAAUCCCACAAAUUUGGGGAUCUUCUCUAUAAAGAUGUUAUUGUGUGGGGAGAGGGGAGGGGCGGGAGUUUGGGCUAGCUGGGGCAUUACUGUGAUCCCCAGAUGAGCGGCCAGGGUUUAUGUUUCUGUGAGGGAGGAAGAGUACUUGCUGGGAGAGGCCCAUUGCAUCAUGGGAAGAAGCUCAGUUGAACUCAUGAUCCUUGUUGAGGACUGAGCAGGGACCUCGGCAUUGCAUGUGCCUUUCCUAUAAGUAGGUGUUUUUGGUCAAAUCCAGAACUGAGCUAAAGUAGCUAGAGGAGGUAUUCCCAGAGCCGCAGAGGGAGAGUUGACUGGAGGUGAGCUCCUCGCUCCCCGCAUCUUUCUAAAGCUGCGGUUCUGAGUGCUGAGGGCUCCAGCACAUUCUCUCUGUGGAGUUUUAUUGUAGCUUGAUGUCAUCAGCUUGCAUACUUUCUUUAAUGCCAAGCAUAGUUCUAAAUAUGUCACAAAGACCCCCUGUGUCAUUGUCCCUGUGUAAUAGCUCUGAGCCUAGGGAAGCCUGGAGACAUCUUGAUCAGUGUCCUGAUUGGGUAAACACCCAGUAGUUCAGAAGUGGACGUGAUGACCAUUCAGAGUGGGCAGAACUAUGUUUUCUGAGCACUGAGCCACAUUUUCAAGGAACAGCUUUGUGGAUCUAAGUCAGUUUCUGCCUACUAGCAGGCAUGCUGAGUAUCUUCUCUGGUUCUCUGAGGCUCACUGUUCAUAAAAUGGAAGUAAUAUUUCUUUACAGAAUUUGUUAAUAGUACAGGGUUGUUGUUACUGAUCUUACUAGGAUUUGUGGAGUUUUUAGCUCUUGCUAGUAUGAUCCAUCUAUAAUUUCCUCAUUGAUUCUAGAGAUGGGCAGGAGAAGUUUUUCAGGACAUCUGACAAAAGCAAAUUAAGGCAGAAAAUACAGUGCAAUAAGACAUGGAAAGAAAUACAGUCACCAGUACUAGGAAGAAAAUAAGUCAUCAGGGUCAGAAAGGAAAUACAGUCAUCAAGACCAGGAAGGAAAUACAGUCAUCAACAACACCAGGAAGGAAAUACAGUCAUCAACAACACCAGGAAGGAAGUACAGUCAUCAAGACCAGGAAGGAAGUACAGUCAUCAAGACCAGGAAGGAAUACAGUCGUCAAGGCUAGGAAGGAAUACAGUCAUCAACAACACCAGGAAGGAAAUACAGUCAUCAACAACACCAGGAAGGAAGUACAGUCAUCAAGACCAGGAAGGAAGUACAGUCAUCAAGACCAGGAAGGAAUACAGUCGUCAAGGCUAGGAAGGAAUACAGUCAUCAACAACACCAGGAAGGAAAUAUAGCCAUCAAAACCAGGAAGGAAUGCAGUCUUUCAAGGCCAGGAUAGCACAGCAGCAAGGUUGGGUCACGUAGUACCUAUAGACUCAUGUACCUAUUCCUCCUUUAUUCAUCUGAGACCCCAGAGCAUGGGGUGAUGCCAUCCACAUCCAAGCUGGGAUUUCUCAGUUAGAGCUUUUUGGAAACUCCUUCAUUAAUACAUCCAAAGGUUUAUCGAUAUCCUAGGAGGCUCUAAUUCCCAUGGAGUUGACCAUGAGAGCAUGUACUGCAUCCAUGCUACAGUCCUUCAAGCUUGGGUAAAGAUAGAGUCAGGGAGAUCUCCAGGACUCUCAUUUACAGCUUCUCGUCUGCUGAAGUGUUCUGGGAACGCCUUGUAUAUAUUUUGUGCAGUAGCCAUCACAUUUGUGGUAAUUAAUUAUUCAACUUGAAUUUACUGGGUGUUUCUCCUAUUUAUAUCUGUCUUUAACACUUCAAAAAUUGUUUGUCUCAUUUUUGUACUUUCCCCAGUUCUAGGCACACACUGGGUGUGCAGUAUAUGUUGAAUACAUGACAGUAUUACUGUAUUACUGUAAACCAUGCUUAGUAUAUAAAAAUAUAACCACUUUUGAUAGUUUUUCUAUAGAGUCUUCCAAAAGAGUGCCUCCCCCCCCUCUCUCUCUCCCCCUCCCUCCCUCCCUCCCUCCCUCCCUCCCUCCCUCCCUCCCUCCCUCCCUCCCUCCCUCUAUCAUUCCAUACCUUCUGCUCUCUUGAAUUCAGAUCUGAUGCCUUUGUAUCCAGAUUAAUCCUGAUUUUCUUUGCUUUUCUUUCUUUCAUGUCAUCUUGUACAUGCCAGCUAUUAUUUUGCUAUUUCCCCAGGCUUAUAAUUCUAUAAUGCACAGCAGGAAGAAGAGAUAAUAAUGAAUUUCUCCAUAAGCCUUUCAGUAUGUUUUGUCUUUGCUGGUUUGGAGUGCUGCUCAAGACUGUAUGGAGUACAGAAUGUACAGUGAGCUCUUAGAAAUCAUACCUUUCAACUUUGCUCAUUUUAUAUCUGAUGAGGUAUGGGGGUGGGGGGAGGGUCACUUGGCUUUGCCUGAGGUGAAAUUCAAAUUUGGUUAGUAGACCCAGUCACUGUCCCUCACUUCUUUUCUGCUAUAAAACUUUUGUGUUUGGCAGGAACUCAGUUGUCUUGUUUAUCAAAAUUUUUUGUGCCUAUUAAAUAUUCAUGAAUGACUGCUCCAUACACGUGAUUUUAUGCUCCCCCAAGGAACAGCAAUAACAGAUAUUAACACUGAUAGCAUGAACUGUCUCUCUGUGUAACUCAAGUGGAUAUGUUAUCCAGAUUGAAGGAUUCAGUGUAAUGCCUUUGAGGACAUAGUGCAUUGGCCACACGCUCUGCUGUAGAACACUCUGUCACCAGGCCUGUCUGUCUGCCCCAUAGAAGAUGUUGAGCCUUGGUACAGAUACCAUCAUUCAAUAAACUCAGCAAUGUAUUUGUGGGCAGGGGAUUUGGGUAAGUUAAAGUGGGAUGCGGCACCUACUUCCAAAUAAUGAAAAGGCAUUUGAUUGUACUUGGGGGCGUUUUUCUUACUUUUUUUUUUCACAAGUAGAAACCAUUUCUUCAACCCCUUCAUAUAUAAAAUUUGGGAACAAGAAUGUUACUUGACUACACAGGCUUCAGCCUGUUAAGUGGAGCUUUGUUGGUUUUAUGUUGCAUAUUAGUAACAGAUUGUAAACAUGUCCCAUCUUUUAAAAUUAUGGUUUUUGUAUUGUAUGUGUAUGAGAAUUUUUCGCUUGUGCGUGUGUUUGUGCAUCAGGCCUUAGAUUCCCUGGAACUAGAGUUACAGACAGUUGUGAGCCUCCGUGUGGGUGCUGAGAGAGCAGCCUGCGCUUAAUGUCUGAUCCAUCUCCCCUUUUUUCUCAUUUCAUCUUUUAAAAGAAGUAAAAGCAUGUUUUCCAAAGGAGUAUCUUUUACUCUCUUGGUUUUUAAGGAACACAAGUAUUUCCCAAACCAGAAAUACUAAUAUCAGUAUUUAAAAAUAGAAUCAUAUUAUAAUGUCCAAGAACUGUAUUUUUUGCACAACGUUACUUAUAAUCAAUGCAUUAGGGAAACUGGCAGAAGAAGAGAGCUCUCCAGGGAUCAUAUCCCUGCCAGCUAGAAUGGAGGAGAGUGGGAUAACCCACUGUUCCCUUCAGCCCAUUGAGGGAGAGACAACAGGGAGACCUAACGUCUCCCAGUUAGGUAGCGGCGCCCUCAGCAGAGUGUACGGAUUCUUUGGAAAGGCAUUCUUUCACUCUGUUUGCAGUGGCUGCAAGCUUCAAGUCCAGAAACGUUUUCAGUCAUGGUUCCAGUCUUGUGGAGGUACAGCCUGCCAACGAAAAUGAGGCCGACAGAUAGAUUCCUCAGAGUGGGUAAAAAUGAAUGUAAAUUGGAUUUGCCAAGUGAUAUUCCAGGCCUGUCUUUUUCAGGCAGAGGUUGUAAAACUACCCUGUACUUAAAAUUUUCCUGGGAAUUUGUUUUAAAAGGCAGCUUGCUGAUCUCUAGUCCCGACUGAGUCAGACUCUGGGGCUCCAGAACACUGUGCUUCAUACAAGCAUGCGAUCCUAAGAUGCCUGGGUGCUGUUGCAUGGGAAGCAUGCGAUCCUAAGAUGCCUGGGUGCUGUUGCAUGGGAAGCAUGCGAUCCUGAGAUGCCUGGGUGCUGUUGCAUGGGUAAGACCCUGUUUUGAGGUGGCAGUGUUGAUUUACAUAUAUGGUGCCAGUGAGGUUUAGGCUUAGUGCGACUAGAAUGUUAUAGAUCACUGUUAGAUUGGAAAAGGUCCUUCCUCGGGACCGGUUAUGUGGUCACAUCUACAGCAGAUGAUUAGUUACAAAAACCACUUUGUUUCCCAAAUGUGUGUUUCUGGAGAUGGUAAAAGACAGAGCUUUCCUCACUUUUGCCCCCCCCCCCAUUUUUUUCUUUUCUCCUUUGUCUUUUUCUCUCUCCCCUCUUUGUCCCCAGUAAAACCUGUUACAUGUGGAACUGCUUUGAUCUGGUGUGCUAUGUUCAGACGUGAGCUGCUGUUCUAACACAUCAAUGACCUCUCCAGGGUCUGGUGUUUUCCUUGGCCCCCAACUCAAGUGAUUUUCCUCCCAAUCAUUUUCUAUGUGUUGCCUCCUGAUUCCCCUGAGGAAUGGGAGGAAGCCCAGAGCUGUACAGUAAGACCUUGGAGCUUUCUCUCCUCUCCCCUGUGUCGUUCCUACUGAUUCUUUUCUUUCCUUUGGUCCCUGCCCUUCUCUCUUUGAAACACAAAGCAGACGCUAUUACAAAUGCUGAGGCAUUGUUACUUCCAGGUUAAAAUACUCUUGCCCACGUUUCUCUGUCUAAACAGUGGCUAUUUUCCAUAGACGGUUCAUGGAGUCUCCUGUGUUUUCCUUAGCUGUUUUUCUCUGUGCUGGGACAGAUGUGGUACCCAGAUAGUCUUGCCUGUUCCUUUUAAUAAGAUAAAACCUGAGUUCGGUUAGGGAAAGGAGCUCAUUGUGAAGAUGUGCACUGGAACAUACAGAGUGAAAAACUUGGACCAGGGGGUGGGGGGUUGAGGGUGGUGAUGGUUCCAGGGACCAGUAAUUGCAGCAACUGUGGCAGCACUGCUGCUGCUGCUGUGGAAACGCCACACACUAAGCAACAUUUUUAAAGAACAUUAACACAUUACAUUUUUAUAAAAUCGCAGUCAGACACCUUGGGCAUCACCUUCAUUUUGUAGAUGAGAGGAAGCAGGACCACAAAAGAAUGACCUAGCUAGCUUAAAUCAGAGAAUCUGACUUUAAACUCAGAGCUUGUCGACCAUAUUCUCUAUGCUACUUAUUUGUUAUCUUUCCAAGUUGGCAAGUAAGAGUGCCUGACUCUACUGGAGGAUGGUAGGCUGGGAUAGGCGCAUGGCAUGGAGCUGGUUCAUCUGGGGGAAACACUGGAAUUGGAGGCAGGGGGUUGGGUAUGUUUUGGUAGCAUAAACAGGUCGAGGGGUUGGAAAGGCAAAGUGCCAGGAUAGUAAUACCCCUGGACUCUUAAUUGCAGGUGCAAGCGCAGGCCCUGGAAAGGUAGGGGAAAGUACACCUCAGAGAUAGGGUCAUGGGGGCAACUGGGAUCGCUGUCCAUGCCUGCGUGAUCUUCAAAUAUCACAUUGGUAGCUAGCUUUUUUGUUUUGUUUUUUCUUAAAGGCUUAUUUCAAAAAAUACAAAUUUGAGCAUACUGUAAAGAAAUGCCAUUUUAACAAUAAAAUGUUAGACAUGGUGCACUUAGUAUAUCCGAUAAAAGUAUAAUAUUUUCACAGCAGCUACCAGUGAGAAAGGGCAAAUGAGCUCUUUAGUUAGAAAGUUUCUGUGUUUAUUCGAACUUUUCCCUGGAUUUUCUUAUACAAUACAUAUUUAUGUUUCAAUUUUUUUUCAAAUAUCAUGCCCUAUUUGUACAAUAAGUCGUGUAAGAACUUAAACUUUAUGCUGGUAAAAUGGCUCAACAGGUAAGGGGACUUGCUAGCAAGGCUGAUGACCUGACCUCAGUUCCCUGGUCCUACGUGGUAGAGGGGCAGCUCGCUCAAGUUGUCCCCUGACUUCCAUAGCGCAUGCACACCUCUGCACUUAGGCGUACAUAUUAAGUCAGUGUAAUUAAGACAAAAGUAACAAUUGAAAGUGCUCUGUACCUUCCAGGAUUUCUCAGAGCAAAAGUACUGUUUGGUGGAUGGCUCCAUUUUAGUAGAAUAGAGUUAAUCAAAUAAUCCAGUUAUUUUCCAAAUUCUGAAAAAGGAUUAAUAAAAAUAAAAUUUUUGAGGUAUAUCUCUGAAUAUGUAUCUCUUACAUCUGUGUGGGUGCUUCUCUUACCAUUUUUAAUAUCUUAUUAGAUGAUAAAAGAUGUGACGUCAUUUCUCUGUUUGUCCUAUUUGUAGAUACAUGCACUGAAUAAAAAAAGUUGUACCAGACCAAAAAUGAAAAGGGAGGGAGUAUCCUCUCAGUUCUGUGGCUUCUCUCUGAGGUUCCCUGGAAAAACCCACACAGCAAUCUGUCAUUGGAAAUUACUUUUAACAAUCUAUUGGCUGACAGUGGGGAUGGGAUUGUCCUCCAGUUCUUAAAACAAUUGAGAUCACAGAUAUGUUUGCUUUUCUGCAUUUCAGUGUUAUUUCUUAUUUAUUUCUUGGUGCCCAAAUGGUUUUUUUUCCCAUUGGAUUCCUUCAGUGCUCAAUGGAGCUAUUUUGAGACAGGGAUAUGACAUAGCCCACACAUAUCAGACUCUCAACAGAGCCAAGUCUUGAACUUCAAUUUCAGGCAUGUGUGACUGCAGCAAAGUUUCAUGCUCGUGGGUAGCUGAUGCUAGGAGUGGGGAGCGGGUGUGUGGGUGGCCAGUGGGCACUCUCAGUUUGGAAAGUAAGGGAAAGGUUUAGAAAGAGAUCACAAUCUCAUUCAUAUAUAUAUAUAUAUACAUACACACAUACACACACACAUAUACAUACAUACACAAUGACACAGGAUUCAAUGUAAGAUUUUUAAAUAUGUGGAACAAUUUGUGUUCAAGAAUUCAAAGGUUAAUGAAUAAGAACAAAAUAUACUGGUGUGUGUGUGUGUGUGUGUGUGUGUGUGUGUGCAUAAA
Long non-coding RNA from Mus musculus (house mouse), 18332 nucleotides. RefSeq annotates it as predicted gene, 34232. NCBI's taxonomy places the organism in Eukaryota, Metazoa, Chordata, Mammalia, Rodentia, Muridae. The record is from RefSeq and is a predicted model, not a curated record. The transcript is spliced from 2 exons.